AUACGGAGGACGCGAGCGUUAUCCGGAUUCAUUGGGUUUAAAGGGUGCGCAGGCGGCCGUGCAAGUCAGCGGUGAAAGCCCGGGGCUCAACCCCGGAAGUGCCGUUGAUACUGCAUGGCUGGAAUGCGGUCGAGGCGGGCGGGACGGGGGGUGUGGCGGGGAAAUGCGUAGAUAUGCCACAGAAAGCCGAUAGCGGAGGCAGCUCGCCAGGCCUGCAUUGACGCUCGGGCACGAAAGCGUGGGGAUCGAACAGGAUUAGAUACCCUGGUAGUCCACGCCGUAAACGAUGGGCGCUCGUCGUCGGCGGCAGACAGUCGGCGGCCAAGCGAAAGCGAUAAGCGCCCCACCUGGGGAGUACGGUCGCAAGGCUGAAACUCAAAUGAAUUGGCGGGG
This 393-nucleotide ribosomal RNA is filed under the name uncultured bacterium. Its description in RNAcentral is "partial 16S ribosomal RNA". It matches the Rfam family "Bacterial small subunit ribosomal RNA", at positions 523 to 918 of the family's 1533-position model. The record is from RNAcentral.